CAGUAGCCGCGGUAGUACGUAGGGGGCAAGCGUUGUCCGGAAUUAUUGGGCGUAAAGCGCGCGCAGGCGGUUCUUUAAGUCUGGUGUAUAAGUGCGGGGCUCAACCCCGUGAGGCACUGGAAACUGGGGAACUUGAGUGCAGAAGAGGAGAGCGGAAUUCCACGUGUAGCGGUGAAAUGCGUAGAGAUGUGGAGGAACACCAGUGGCGAAGGCGGCUCUCUGGACUGUAACUGACGCUGAGGCGCGAAAGCGUGGGGAGCAAACAGGAUUAGAUACCCCUGUAGUCCCUGUCUCUUAUACA
Molecule: ribosomal RNA, 301 nt
Filed under: uncultured bacterium
Lineage: Bacteria
Description: partial 16S ribosomal RNA
Rfam family: Bacterial small subunit ribosomal RNA
Source: RNAcentral